This 77-nucleotide transfer RNA is filed under the name Acidithiobacillus thiooxidans. Its description in RNAcentral is "tRNA-Ala". It matches the Rfam family "tRNA". From Rfam's summary of the family: Transfer RNA (tRNA) molecules are approximately 80 nucleotides in length. Their secondary structure includes four short double-helical elements and three loops (D, anti-codon, and T loops). The record is from RNAcentral. Lineage: Bacteria; Pseudomonadati; Pseudomonadota; Acidithiobacillia; Acidithiobacillales; Acidithiobacillaceae.
GGGGCUGUAGCUCAGCUGGGAGAGCACCUGCUUUGCAAGCAGGGGGUCACCGGUUCGAUCCCCGGUCAGCUCCACCA